UCGAGGAUCUUCGGCAAUGAGCGCAAGCUUGACCGAGCGACGCCGCGUGAGCGAUGAAGGCCUUCGGGUUGUAAAGCUCUUUAGUGGGGGAGAAAAGCCCGCAAGGGUGUGAUCUAUCCCAAAAAUAAGCACGGGCUAAGUUCGUGCCAGCAGCCGCGGUAAGACGAACCGUGCGAACGUUGUUCGGAAUCACUGGGCUUAAAGGGCGCGUAGGCGGGCUGACAAGUCUGGGGUGAAAUCCCGCGGCUCAACCGUGGAACUGCCUUAGAUACUGUCGGCCUCGAGGGAGAUAGGGGCAUGCGGAACUAACGGUGGAGCGGUGAAAUGCGUUGAUAUCGUUAGGAACUCCGGUGGCGAAAGCGGCGUGCUGGAUCUCUUCUGACGCUGAGGCUCGAAAGCUAGGGGAGCAAACG
Molecule: ribosomal RNA, 413 nt
Filed under: uncultured Gemmata sp.
Lineage: Bacteria; Pseudomonadati; Planctomycetota; Planctomycetia; Gemmatales; Gemmataceae
Description: bacterial SSU rRNA
Rfam family: Bacterial small subunit ribosomal RNA
Source: RNAcentral